AGUUACCAACAAAUGAAUAUAAACGAAAGAUUGGGAUAGAUACGUGUGAGUAUAUUGAAACCGGAAUGCGCCUAGCAAAAACCGCCUAGAAUACUCAAUGAAAAAAGAUGGAAACAAAAAUUUUAUCACCAAAAUGUUUUUAUGAUGAAACAAAACCAAACUGAGAACAAAUGUACAGUCUUAGACAAGAAGGUAGUCAACAAGAUAUAAUAUUAAAAGACCCCUGUUGACACCUUUUUCGAAGAAAAUUAAAAUAAAAUAUAAUAAAAUAAUAGAAAAGAAAGAACGAACCCACAAAGAAGAGGAAGAAAAGAAAAACCUCAAUAAUGUCAAAACAAUGCAGUGGAGGAGGAAAUGAUUGCUUUUUUUAAUCGACAAAACAAGCCACACAAAAGAAAUAAAAAUUGGCGUAAAAUGACGGAGAACAACCAGGCACAGCUAUAUGCUCCCUUUGAAAGAAGUUAU
Molecule: non-coding RNA, 465 nt
Organism: Schizosaccharomyces pombe (fission yeast)
Lineage: Eukaryota; Fungi; Ascomycota; Schizosaccharomycetes; Schizosaccharomycetales; Schizosaccharomycetaceae
Source: the annotation of a GenBank genome assembly